Molecule: non-coding RNA, 29 nt
Filed under: Cricetulus griseus (Chinese hamster)
Lineage: Eukaryota; Metazoa; Chordata; Mammalia; Rodentia; Cricetidae
Source: RNAcentral
ACCAGAGUUGAAGUGACAGAAUUUGAAGA